GAGACUGUGUUAAUGGGAUGCGUCGCUUACUUUGCUCGCAGCAGGUCCUGGUCUUUGAGAACCGACCCUUGAAGAUAGAUGACCCUUUGUGACCACAGAGGGAUCUGCAGGACCCGCCGCACCUGAAGGUAGAUCAGCUCCUCAAACUGGCGAAAAGGCACGCGGAGUGAACCUGAGCUGCGCACGUGCAGCGUUCGGACGUCGGCCCACAUCAUUUCGGCGCGUGCGUACCUGCAGGGGCAGCACCACCAGGGCCACGCAGAUCAUGAUGACCACCAGCAGCUGGGACGGCCAUAUGCGGGGGGUCACGUCGCCGAAGCCCACGGUGGAAAACGUGACGAUGCAGAAGUAGAAGGAGUUGAAGAGGGACAGGUUCUUGCCCGCUCGCUCCAGGUGCUGGAUUCCACACGUGCUGAUUUGAAGUCACCACGUCGGCAAUUAAGAAUGUCACGUGCAACUUACAUUCUACUAUUUUAAUACAUUAUAAUUUUCUGCA
This is a long non-coding RNA of Betta splendens (Siamese fighting fish), 496 nucleotides long. RefSeq lists it as uncharacterized. The record is from RefSeq and is a predicted model, not a curated record. NCBI's taxonomy places the organism in Eukaryota, Metazoa, Chordata, Actinopteri, Anabantiformes, Osphronemidae. The transcript is spliced from 2 exons.